This 2528-nucleotide long non-coding RNA is filed under the name Malus domestica (apple). RNAcentral describes it as "long non-coding RNA (MDOM_LNC000868)". The record is from RNAcentral. Lineage: Eukaryota; Viridiplantae; Streptophyta; Magnoliopsida; Rosales; Rosaceae.
GGUAUGACAUUGCAACAAAUUCAAAGAUAAGGUAUGACAUUGAAACUUUUUAAAGACGAGGUAUGAAACUGUUAAUGACCCAAUAGUUGAGGUAGUUUUAUGUAAUUUGCCCUGAUAUAUUUUACACUAAGGUGAGGGGGUUCGGCUAACCCACACAAUGGACAACUUAAUUUGAUAUCGAAUUUGCCAUCCACAAGAUUCGAACCUAAUACCUCUCAUUUGAGUAUUGAGUUUUAGGUAUAUUAAUUCAAUAUAGUAUAUUUCGGUACAUACAUUUCGAUACGUACAUACAUUUCAGUAUUGACAUUUAGGUAUAUUAAUUCAAUAUAAUACGUUUUGGUACAUGCAUUUGGGUUCAUUAUAAUAUAUGUUCGUACAAUCAUGUAGGUACAAAUAUUUCGGUACAAAAAAAGUUAAUUUUAUAUAUUUCAGCACAAUCAUUUCUGUACAGUUAUGUAUUUAUAUAUUUUUGUAUCACAAAUUUCUUUUAAUAUUUUCUCAUUUAUGUUCAUUUAUAAUUAAAGAACUAAAUAUGUGCAAAUUAAUAAAAUUUAAAUUUAAUGCGGAGAGAUUAAAUAAAAAAUACACAUUAAGUAACAAAAAUUGAAUAUAAAUUUUGAUAAAAGUACACUUCAAGAGAUUAAAUUGAAUAUGUAAUCUAGCAUAAAGUUUUUUUAAAAUUUUAAUCUUUUGCAAGGACUAAUGUUCAAAAACCCCAUCAAAAUAAGUAUGACACAUAGACAUAGUGCCAAAUUCAUAAAAAGAGGAAGGAACGGGUUGCUGAUAAAAUAUAUGUUCUUAUUAAAACAUAUAUCCAUGAACUUUCGAUAGAAACAAUCAAUAACUUAAAAAAAAAAAAGAAUUAAAAUAUGUGCACUAAUACAAUAUAGGAAGCCCGUUAUUAUUUUUGAGAUGCUUACGUACAAAAUGAAUUUGGCUAAUUUACAUCUGUGCACGUAAUUCAACGGCCCUUCUUGCUAUCUGCCCUUCUCGUGCAUGCAUGCAGCUUGAAUUAAUGUAUGCUGUUAGUCAAAAGAAAAAUUAAUGCACGCUGGAUUUUUUCGUCAUAACAAAUAAAACUCCUAUACUCAAAAAGUUGAUAUCAAUCCAAAAGUAUAAAAGUAUUUUACGAAAAAUUUAUAAAAUAUUAAAUUUUAAAAUUAAACCUUUGACCAAUUUUUCAAAUAAACAAACCUUCCUUGUUGUGGUGAUAAGCCAGCCAACGACCAACGUUUACUAAUCCAGUUUUCCUCUCAAUUGUAAUACCAUUGUGCCCUUCAAUAUGUCCUGGGCCAGCUCUUAGAAUUUGAGGGUUCUAGGUGAUCUUUUGAAGUGGGGUUCUAGAGUUUUCUAACUUCUGACCUUUUGUAUAUUGACAUAUAAUUUUUUUUUAUUAAAUACAUGAAAAAUCUAUUUCUACAUCAAAUAUCAUUAAAAAUUAAUAUAUAUAAAAAGAAAGAUAUACAUACAUUACUCAAAUAUUAUCCGUCUCGCGUUUUUAGAUGCAAAUGCACUUAUUAAAUUACAUAAUCUAAUUUUUCUACCAAUUCAAACCGAAAGAGAAGUCCUUACCCAGUGCGCCAAAUUCCAAUCAUUUUUCUAUUGUUACAAUGUUACUUAUUACAUUCAAUAAAUGAAUGAAUGGUUGGAUAUCUUACAGCUAGGGAAAAUACUAAGGUGAAUAGGAUAGUAAUUUUCGUAUAUGAACCUAGGUGGACGAGGCGGAUUUUGAAUAAUUUAUUAUAUAUAUUAUUGUUGACCCUAAAAACUACCAAGCCUACGUGGCGCGCAGGCCGAGUAAUCUAUAAGUUAACUACAUCCUUCGGUUGAAUGCGGGGCGUGUAACUCAUUGGCCGAGCUCGGCUGAGGAGUAAAUUUUGUUGAUGUUGCAUUGGGUGCGCAGCUGACUUCUAUGUCUUGCGAUUGCGACCGAGGAAGGAACACGUCUCUGAAGGGAAAAUUAUGAGUUUUACACAUAGGGAUUUCGAAAUGACUAUCAUGCAUAUGCAAAUCAAAUUUUAUAUACGAAAGCAGCGGAAGCAUUUAACACAAAUUAUCAAAGCUAUAGUCAUGCAAAUCCCCUUCAAGGUUCAUAGGUUUAUAUAUAAUGCAUCAAAACAUUUUAGAGAAGAACAAAGUGAAGGUUUAGUCUUAUACCUCUUGAUCUAGACUUGAGACCAAGGAUGGACCACCUCUAAGCCCUUUGCUCCUUGAACUCCUUGAGCCUAGCCUCCCUCCUUGCCUCCUCCACUUUGUUGGUAAGAGUGCUCCAAGGUUCUCCUUUAGUCUCCAAAGGAGAAGACCUCUAAAGAUCCACACCCACUAGUGUAGUGAGAUGGAUGGAGGAAUAACCAAAAGGGUGAAAAAUUGUUAGCUAAAACACCCUCAAGGUGGCCGGCCUUUGUGUAGUUUUAGAGAGAUAUUUCUUUUGCCUCUUUGUUGUUUUAAACACACAAAAACCCUAAGGAAUAAAUCUCUAUAAAGUUCCUUAUAUAGACAAAAAGAAACCUAGUCAACAACUUGACUAA